GACGAGGGGUCCAAACGUUGCUCGGAAUCAUUGGGCGUAAAGCGGGUGUAGGCGGCCAUGUAAGUCAGAUGUGAAAGCCCCGGGCUCAACCCGGGAAUUGCAUUUGAUACUGCAUGGCUUGAGUGUGGGAGAGGAUAGCAGAAUUCCUGGUGUAGUGGUGAAAUACGUAGAUAUCAGGAGGAAUAUCGGUGGCGAAGGCGGCUAUCUGGCCCAACACUGACGCUCAGACCCGAAAGCGUGGGGAGCAAACAGG
This 253-nucleotide unclassified non-coding RNA is filed under the name uncultured Pseudobdellovibrionaceae bacterium. RNAcentral's name for it is "uncultured Bdellovibrionaceae bacterium contains 16S-23S intergenic spacer region". It matches the Rfam family "Bacterial small subunit ribosomal RNA", at positions 524 to 776 of the family's 1533-position model. Lineage: Bacteria; Pseudomonadati; Bdellovibrionota; Bdellovibrionia; Bdellovibrionales; Pseudobdellovibrionaceae. The record is from RNAcentral.